UCCAGGACUCCUAAUCAUUCCCAGGUCUCUGCUUUUAUAACUAUUCCAUUAUUCAUCGUGGAAUAUGAUGAAAUCACACAAACCAUACAGUACAACCGACGACCCCAUAGCGGGUCCUCCUCUUAUUCAACCCCCAAAAGUUACAAGAAAGACAAAGGGGCCAGCGCAAUCCUAGCACAGUCCUGACGGUUCUUCCACACCCAGUGAACUCUCUUGGAACUCAACUGCAGAGAGUCACUCAUUGUGACAAACACUAAAAGUUUAGAAUUUUAGUCUUUCAUUUGCCAAUCGCCAUGCAUGAGGCAUGACUCACGGGCUUCAGGAGAUAAAGUCCCGGAGUUAAAGACACACACCCUCGCUUUCUUUCGCCUUUCUACCUCUGGCUCAGUUUCGUGAAUGAACUGAAAAGACAUGCACACUUACGAGGGAGAGAGAUGUCCUCUUCAGUGGGCCGUUCGUGAGCGGAGCGGAGGAGGAACCGAAGCCGCAGGGGCGCCUGCAGAGGAGAAGCUUUUCCUACCUUCGCAUGUGUUGGGUCAGCAGCAAAUGUCAGCCGGUGGCUGACCGAACAGCCUGCCUCAGGUGGGAAAGCUGCACGCGAGACGUUUCCGUGCCAGGCCCGACCGAACCCCAGAACCUUCGCUGACAGCCCUUGACUUUGAACUCCAAGUAUCAGACUUGCAGGUACAGCUGGAAGGGUGGAAAGGUUUCCAACGGACAGAAAUCGGUCUGGAAGUCACUCCAAGGAGAGAUACCGUGUCAACAAAAGAAGAAAUCUGCCCACACAUGUUGGAAAGUUGGUUCCAGAGAAUGGAGGCUUUGACCUUAUUGACUGCUCGGCUAGUCAGCAGAUACUUGAUGGAUUCUUUCAUUCAUUCAGCACGUUAUUUUAUGACAAGUACUACAUAUUAAAAUUUUAAAGAAAAAUCACCUUUGGCUUGUAAAUUCUAGGUUAAAUAUUUACUUAGACUUUAGAAGUUAAACUUGUUUCAAUUUUUAUUUGCUUGUUUCUGU
Molecule: long non-coding RNA, 1014 nt
Filed under: Chinchilla lanigera (long-tailed chinchilla)
Lineage: Eukaryota; Metazoa; Chordata; Mammalia; Rodentia; Chinchillidae
Description: lncRNA (ENSCLAG00000022454.1)
Source: RNAcentral